UGGGUGGUUAGUAAGUUUCUUCGAAAUCAAUGCCCACUUCCCGUCUCACCGACACAGGCGGGUGUUUUCAGUGUGACGUCAGGACAUCUGCAGCUGUUUUUCUGGCAGAAAACCAGAAACGUUCAAUGUCAACGUUUUCUUCAAGCGACUGGGUUGCACGGAGACUGGGGAGCUUUCGCUGGGUGGAUGUCUCUUAAUGGGAGAAUUGUGUGGUACAAUCCAGUACCUACUGGUGCCACCCCAGGGCCCACCCUGCAUGCAGUCGCCCGCAUCAGCAGCCUGAGUUUGUGUUGUGGUUCAUGGAGGAAAAUCACACUGCAGUCCGAAUAAAGAGGAUUGAGUGCAUUUACACUGGUGCUGCACUAAAAUACAAUUCUGAGUACUUGUACUUAAGUAUUUCCAUUUUAUGCUACAUAGUACUUCUUGAUACUUAAGGUGGUAUUUUAAGGUGGUCUGUCACAUGAGUCUAAGGUCAAAGUCAAACUUCACAGACUCUCAUCAGGUCAUAAGACUUCAAUCAAAAUUGUAUACUAUUGUCAGCUGUUGGUACAUGUCAGUCAGUGCACAUGAGUGCAGUGACUGUGGGAUUAAACCACUAAUUUGACUUAUCUAACAUCAUGCACCUGCUUUUUUCUUUUGCAUUCAGCUGCAUUUACAUUGCACACACUUAGCUGACUGUGUGUCAUGUAUAUAUAGAAAAUCAUUGUGACUAGAAAUGUUCCUCUCUGUUGCUUCUCUCACCACACCCCACAGUGAUUUCAUGUCAUAGUGGUGUUUACUGAAAUGAAACCUGUGACUUUUAGAGGACAGAUUCUGCACUGAUGACAAUGAACUGCCUCUAACAUUUCUUAGUUGUUAGAUUUUUCAUAUUUAAUUUAAUCAACCUUUUAAAAGCUUAACUACAAGGAAAUCUGGUGGGGAAAUAGUGAAUCCUUUAUUGAUUUGGUUGCCUUAGAAGUUGUCAAAUGUACACAUACUUUAACAGAAUCAGAAAAAAUCUCCACCAUAUGUAAUUUGUAAUUGUUGAACUCCAGGUUGCAAAAACUCAUAAAUUCCCAGACAAUCAGCACAUGUUAAUUAGCUUUAUAAGCUAAUUCUGGUACAGUAUGUCACAUGACAACAUUUAUGUUAGAUAUUGUACAUGGUUCCUACUGUACAUAAACAAAUAAGUAAGUAACUAAUCCAGUAUUCUCUAUGAUUUCUAGCAUAUAUAUUUCUUCCUUUUUGAGGAGCAGCUGGAAAGGUUUUAGCAUGUCUACAUUAGUUCAGUAUGCUUUCAGAAAUAUAGAAAAAAUAAUAGAGAAUAAUAAAAAUACCAAAAAAAUAAGCUUUUAAAAAAGAGUUCAGAAUGCUUGAAACUAACUAGUAGGCAGUUGUUGUUUUUUUCAUUAUUUUUUUCAUAAUUUGAUUUAUGAUUUAUCUAUUCCCCUGUUUUCACUCAUGUGCUCAUUUAGAAAGCACAGGUGUUCGAUAUCAUUAACUCAAGUCAUCUCAGCUGGAACCAAAUUAACACACGAUUCCCCGGGUGGAAACACUGAGAGUCAAAAUUACUCACACACUUCUCAGAACCUCAGGAUGGAUAGAUACAGUAAAAGGGCUGUGGGUCAGUUCACUUGUUUUGGAACAAUGGAUCCAUGAGGCAGAAUAAAUGUCAUUUCUUUCUUUAUGUACAAACUGUUUUUUUUUUUAUGUUGGUAAAUACAUGGACAUUAUUUUACUGUAUUCUACAUUCUUUAUCAGUUGCAUAUUUCAAUUUCAGUUUAUUUUACUACAGUACAUUGAGGAAUUAAACAUUUUGAAAAUGUACACAUGUGUUGUAUCUUUAUAUUGUGUUCAUCAUGUAAAUAGGUUGUUCUGUUGAAAAACCGCGAGCACCAUCAUUCAUUGCAGUAUGAGGUUUUUACAGUAGUGUUUUGAAUUGAUCUCACUAGUGUGAAACGGCUGUUCUGUAGUGUUUGUGUAUUUGAUGGCUUUUGUGUGAUGUCUGAAGGCAAAGUUUGGUUUCAAUGUAGGAUUACAUGGUGUUGAGUUGAGAGUUUGGUUUGUGAAGAUGAGUGUACAGUUAUUCACGUGUGUUUGGAGUUUUGGGAAAUACAGUAUAAUUUCAAGAAAUGUGUCUUAGCAAAAAACUGUAAUAAC
Thunnus maccoyii (southern bluefin tuna) is the source of this 2139-nucleotide long non-coding RNA. RefSeq lists it as uncharacterized. The transcript has 3 exons. NCBI's taxonomy places the organism in Eukaryota, Metazoa, Chordata, Actinopteri, Scombriformes, Scombridae. The record is from RefSeq and is a predicted model, not a curated record.